Molecule: ribosomal RNA, 96 nt
Filed under: Kribbella caucasensis
Lineage: Bacteria; Bacillati; Actinomycetota; Actinomycetes; Propionibacteriales; Kribbellaceae
Description: Kribbella sp. VKM Ac-2527 partial 16S ribosomal RNA
Rfam family: Bacterial small subunit ribosomal RNA
Source: RNAcentral
AUUCAACGGAGAGUUUGAUCCUGGCUCAGGACGAACGCUGGCGGCGUGCUUAACACAUGCAAGUCGAGCGGUAAGGCCCUUCGGGGUACACGAGCG